UGGGGAAUCUUAGACAAUGGGGGAAACCCUGAUCUAGCCAUGCCGCGUGAGCGAUGAAGGCCUUAGGGUUGUAAAGCUCUUUCAGCUGGGAAGAUAAUGACGGAACCAGCAGAAGAAGCCCCGGCUAACUCCGUGCCAGCAGCCGCGGUAAUACGGAGGGGGCUAGCGUUGUUCGGAAUUACUGGGCGUAAAGCGCGCGUAGGCGGACCAGAAAGUUGGAGGUGAAAUCCCAGGGCUCAACCUUGGAACUGCCUUCAAAACUCCUGGUCUGGAGUUCGAGAGAGGUGAGUGGAAUUCCGAGUGUAGAGGUGAAAUUCGUAGAUAUUCGGAGGAACACCAGUGGCGAAGGCGGCUCACUGGCUCGAUACUGACGCUGAGGUGCGAAAGCGUGGGGAGCAAACAG
Molecule: ribosomal RNA, 403 nt
Filed under: uncultured bacterium
Lineage: Bacteria
Description: bacterial SSU rRNA
Rfam family: Bacterial small subunit ribosomal RNA
Source: RNAcentral